CACGUAAACAACCUGCCUUCAGGAUGGGGACAACAGACGGAAACGACUGCUAAUACCGAAUAAGUUCCAAGAGCCGCAUGGCCCAUGGAAGAAAAGGUGGCCUCUACCUGUAAGCUAUCGCCUGAAGAGGGGUUUGCGUCUGAUUAGCUGGUUGGAGGGGUAACGGCCCACCAAGGCGACGAUCAGUAGCCGGUCUGAGAGGAUGAACGGCCACACUGGAACUGAGGCACGGUCCAG
RNAcentral lists this ribosomal RNA (237 nucleotides) under uncultured bacterium. RNAcentral describes it as "partial 16S ribosomal RNA". It matches the Rfam family "Bacterial small subunit ribosomal RNA", at positions 114 to 334 of the family's 1533-position model. The record is from RNAcentral.